ACGCUGCCCACCCCGGGUCCCAAUGUAACCACUGCUGCAACCCCGCCUGCAGCUCGAAGUUCUACAACCACCCAGAGCCCAAGGAGAUGAGCAAAACCUCCAACACCACCUCCAUCAGAAACAAUCGCUCCAGUGGUUCCACUGCCCGAUGAUACUUUGGCACAACGGUGUACAGCUCACCAAAUACACGGGUCCUCCUGGUACAGCAAGGUACUAUGGUGGUUUAAAAAUGGCUCUUAUGCUGUCAUGUAGCGGUCCAUGGAAUGGGAAACCAACACGUCCCAUGUUCCGGGUAUUUUGUGGUUCCGCCAUAUGGAUGAAGGGGGGCACGCUCAUGGAAUUGAAUAUACCAUAGCCGCAUAUCGCCAAACAGUCUGGGAAAGUCUGCAGGGCACAGCCCUAGUCAACCCAGAAAAACUGGCCAAACCCAUGGGGGGCACCGUGCCAGAAUCAUUUUUGCAAGAUACCCAUGCCAUAGUCGUACCUGGACAGUGUGCGUUCAAGUACGCAGAUGGAAAUUCACUCCAGCGAAUAAAUCAACCCCAUUGGGAAGUUUAACAAUCCCAGAAACAAGGAGGGAAAUGGUUAAGCACCUAAACAGGAGAACCCCUGUCCAUUUUUUGCAUUAAGUAGGGAUGCACGCUGCUAAUUCAAAAAGAGCCACCACAAGUGUAUUUGCUACCUCGCUUGUCUAAUGUCACCCCAUGGUGGAGAUCCAAGACCAGAGCUCCAGUUCUCCUUAAUGCCUCCUUGUUCAAUAUCUGUAUCACAUUUAACCCCAAGCAAUGGUUUGCCAGAACAGCAUUUCCUAACUGCUCUGCCAGCGCUCAGUUGGCAGAAAAUAUGCUGUGCUGGGCCUGGCCAACUGUUUUUCAACCCACAGAGCAGCCUCCAAUCGCCCGGAUAAAAAGGAUACCCUAGACCAUGUGUGGAACGGGCUUAAUUCAGCCAUGGGAGUUUGGGACAUAGAUAAAUCUCAGAAAAACACCCAAGGAAUAAUGGAUAUAUGACAAGCCAUAGGUUUUCUUACUAAAGGGAGUAUGAUUGAUAACAUCGCCCUAGAAUACGCUGAUGAAUUAGUAGCAACCAUUGGCCAAGAAGCAGCACAAAUAAGUUACCUGUUGAUGCAUGCAGCCUUUCAAGCUGAUGCUAAGCAAACUUAGAGCACUGCGUGUGCCCAAGUGCAGCUUUCACUUAAUUUUCACUUCUCCCAGGUAAUGAAAGAUCUCAAACACAAAGAAUAGCCUGCUGGCUUAGAAUGCCAUAGACUACCCUCAGUUUUAACCCAACAGUUAGUUUACCGAGACACGUGGAGCACAGAAUGGGAGGGGUGUAGCAAAGCAAAAUGCUUUUUUGUCGUACAUGGGGUAGCAAAUGGCACGUGGUCCACUGCCCAUCUCUUAACAAGAGGACUAGGGGGAGGAUGUAUGUGGGACUGGGACUUACAUUGUCCCAUUUGGGAAAUGAUAACCACAGAAGGCCCCAAGUAUUUAGCUCAAUCUCCGGAGUAGAUUGUAAAUGGCAUUUUAAUAGCUUGGGAAAUUUAUGGAGAGGGUGGCCCAAUAUUCCCCCUGACAUGGUUUGUGUAACACCCCUACCAGCAACUCCCUAUGUUACCCUAGCUCAGCGGGUUUGUUGGGAAAGUUCUGGCUGCUUGUACUAUCCCAACAGUACAUUUUGGACCUCCUGCACCAACUGUUGUGCAGAAGCUCAAGAUUUUCAAGGAGAAUCAGCUAUUUUAAAUGUCCAAGGCCAGGAAACUAUUUUAAUGUUGCCGAAAAUCCAAUUAGAAAGCAUCACCCUUAACCUAAGUCUUCCAAAAUCCUGGGUUAAGGAUGUAGACAUGCCCCAGCUAAAAGGAUGGGGUGAAGUAGUGGCCCACAUUAAAGGUUUGUUCGAAGAUGCCCAAAAGGAAAAACAAUUUGCCGUCAUGGCUCAAGAAGGAGGGCAAAUUAUUAAAUGUGCUACUAAUAUUCCCCCGCUGUGUAAGUGGUAUGAAGUAGUCUGUACUGUGCAAAUGAAUACCUUUACUAAAGGUGCUCCUUUUCCUUGGUUUGUAGCAGUAAUAAGUUUGGUUAUUGAAUUAAUAUUGUUCAAUAUAAUCUUUAAAUGUUGUUGUUAUACAAUUAAGUCUAAUACCCAUGCCAAAAUAAAUGUUGUUUCUGCCAACCAUGUAUACGCCACCUGGAAGAAAUCAUAUUUGUAAGCCUUACCAAAUGCUCCAAAGAAGCAAGGGGUGGAUUGUGAUGGCCAGAACCAAAGAAAUUAAUAAGCAAUAAACAUGUGCUUGUUGGAGGCAUUUGGAAUUUCUGUCUAGUAUAACUUGUAUUUUUGUAACCCGCAAAUGUAACUUGUAACUGUUUGUAGAACUGACUAGGCCUCAAAGACAAAGCUAUAGCUGUGAAAUUAGCUGACCUAAUAGUUCUUUCUUGCUCAGAAUUUAGCCUUGAUGAUGAUAAAAACUGGAUUCAACUGCCUAGCUUACCCAGCACAUUCCAGGAAAGCACAUCUCAAAGAAGCAUAGCCAGAGAGUUCUAAGGGGUUGGAUUUAGGCGGGGUAAUGUUAAUUUCAAACCUGAAGAUGCUGUGUUGCAAUUUGCUUAUUGGAUAAACCCAAGUCUGGGUAGUAACCUUUUAUAAUAAUUUUAACACUUUUUAAUCCCAUAGGGUAGUAGCUAUAAAACAAGAUUGUGAAUGGCCCUAAAACCAGCAGAUUAGCAUAAGACUAGGUAUAAAAAGCGCGUGCAUCAGGUGACCAACAGGAAGGAGGGAACAGGAUGGAAACUGUUGUUUUAAGUGUGGACUCUGGAUUCCCACUGUGAGUGAGGAUUGGAUCCUGAUCAAGGGAUCUUCUCCGGUAAUCCUUCAGGAAGCAUCUAUCGGGGAUGCCUGACUUCGCUGGAAUCACCUGGCGUGCACCUGGCAUUGAGGGAUUAUCGAUAAAUUGCCAACCCAUGUGUGUCUAUUUGUUGUUUUAAACAGCCAGUGGCUGAUACCCUCACAGUGCCUAGCUGGCUUGCAGCAGACUGAUCUAUUUAUCUGUUGUUAUUAUCUGUUAUUAUUUACUAUUAGCUCUUUAAUAUUGCAUUAUUUGCUUAUUGCAUUUAUCUUUUUGUUAACUGUUGUGUGUGUGUAAGCUUUAAUAAAUUUGCCAUUGUUUUACUCCCAACUCUGCCUCCUCGAUCCCGAACCAAACAGCCGAGUGACUAAAUUGAUAUACUCACAGUGCCUAGCUGGCCUGACACACAUGUCACUGGCACUGGCAUCACCCCCUGAGUGCAGCAGGACCAGACUGAGAAGGAGCAGAAGCAGCAGGAGAAAAAGGUGUCCCAGUAGCUGAGGCACACAAAUGAGGUAUGGCACCAGGUCUGAGAGCACCAGUAGAAGCUGGUGCAGAAUCAAGUUGCCAUCUUCAAGGAGGGCAAGUGGCUAGAGAAGGAGGCACACUGGCACAGUGAGUGCAUCACCAAGGUCAGGAGGCAAAGGAUGGAAGAGCUCAGGUAAGUGGGUGGGGACCAUGUGGGAGGCCUGGACCAUGGGUGUUUUGAGGGAUGCAAGUCAUGGGGCACUGCCCAGCAGCAUCUGGCACAACUUGUGCUGUCUCUUCCUUUGCUGCUCCUUCAUCAGGUCCUGGGGCAGGCUGAGGCCCUGAGGCUUGCAGGGUGGGGAUGGAGUGGGGCAGUGGGCCAAGGCAGUGAGCUUGUGGGGGCAUAGCACCUGGAGCAGGGCUUUCCAGGCCAGAGGUGGGAGCUGGUUAGAAGGGCUGGAGCUGUUCACUUUACCAUGUGCUGCCUUGAGCUGCCCUUUCUGCCCAAGCUGCUCUGAGUGUGGCCUGCAUUUGUGCCCUAGGUAUGAGUGUGUGUGCAGAUGUGUCUGGCAGUGUGUUUGCACUAGUGCAAAGUGCAUGUACAUGCAAAUGGUGGUGGCAUUGAGUUGCUUGCAAGCUUGUUAAGGUGGCCAAUGUGCAUGUACACAUGCAUGUUCAUUGGGUACUAACUUCCAUGUGUGUGUGUCAGGGAUGACAUAGUGCAGCCAGUGCACCUCCUGGGCAAUCUCCCAAGAGGCUGCUGUCUGCCCUCUGCCCUUAAGCCUCCUUAGUUCUCUCCUCCAUCCCACAGAAGUUCCAGUUGGGCAGGGAGAUCAGGAGCUACAAUGUACAUAUGAAGCAGCUGGAGGAGAUCAUUGAGCGGAGGGAACAGCACCAAGACCGGCAGGAGUGGGACGAGGGGCUGCCCUGAAACAGGGCCUGGACAGAAGCCCUCAGAGCAGGCUCCAGGUGGAGGCUCCAGGGAGGAGAGCUGUGGCCCAGAGGAACCCAGAGCCCUGUACACCCCAGCAGGCCUGGGGAGACUGAUAAAUUGGCUACAUCCUGGCCUGAAACCCUUUGCAUCCCAAGCUCUCAUCCUCGAGAGGGCUGGGCCCAGAGCAACCCCAAAUAUGUCUAUGUGGGGAAUGACCCUGUUAUGAAAGCCUGCAUGGCCAUCACAGGACCAAGGCAAGUGAUCUGGCAGCACCAUGGUAGCACCAGGAAGAUCCUGCUGGACUCUCUCCUCCCUGGCCUGGAGCACACCCCCUGCCAGCACCAAGCAGGUGACAUCUUGCUCCAUCUGAAAGCUGACUCCACCAACCAGAGGGACCUCCCACACUCCUUUCCCAGUCAUCCACAGCGAUUCCAAAGGAUGCUAAGUCAUCAUUGCAAGCAUCCCAAAAUCUGCACAGCAGUCUGCCUCUCUUUCUAGACCCUUUAUGAGCUUCACAGGACAGCACAUUCUUUGUGUCCCCUGAUCCAGCAUUUGCUUUACAUGGCUGAGCCACCCAAGUCUUUUCUUAAUCAACAUUCCCAUGGAUGACAUACCUGCAUGAUUAAACACUUGCUCAUUUGUCA
Alligator mississippiensis (American alligator) is the source of this 4885-nucleotide long non-coding RNA. RefSeq lists it as uncharacterized. The record is from RefSeq and is a predicted model, not a curated record. NCBI's taxonomy places the organism in Eukaryota, Metazoa, Chordata, Crocodylia, Alligatoridae. The transcript is spliced from 4 exons.